Molecule: long non-coding RNA, 739 nt
Filed under: Brassica rapa (field mustard)
Lineage: Eukaryota; Viridiplantae; Streptophyta; Magnoliopsida; Brassicales; Brassicaceae
Description: long non-coding RNA (BRAP_LNC003374)
Source: RNAcentral
CUUAUCGUCCAAAAAGCUACCACUGGUCUAUGAUCCGAUCCCACCAUUCUCAAAUAUUCUGUAUAAGAAUAUGGAAAAAGUGUAUGCCAUUACUCGUUAGCCAAGGCUCUAUCCAGACGACAUCUAACCGUAAAUGCUCCUUUCUCUUUACCUCUUCGUCCUUGCCAUGACAUUUUAUUACCUCGAGCCGGAAAUUCAAGCAAACCACUAUUUCUAAUCAUAUUAUCGAAGGGGUUGAGUAAAUGUUUUGGGUCAAAAGCCAAAAAGUCUAUGAAUUGCUAUUGCGGAAUUCCUUGUUAACGUGCUGGUUAAGUAUGGUGAAUAAAUAUGAUGCUCAACCAUGAUAGCUUUGAAGUAUUUUUUUUUUAUUUUUCUCUGUUUUUUUUUUCUUUUACUAGAAAAAUACUAUAAUAUUUUUAUUGGAAGCCUUAUAAUAAAGUAUUGAAAUGUUUGUUUCGGAUUUGUUGCAUUAUUUAUAAUAAUGAAUAACAUAAAUUUUAAUCAGGACACAAUGGUUAGUAUAAUCAGUGAACUUUUAUCUUUUUAUUGUAUUUAGUUAAUUCCGGCCAAUUGAACUUAAUAUCUUGUUCACUUAUUUUUUCUAUUUGGGCUAAAAUAAUAUUACCGUCCACAAAAAUAAGAAUCUGAAAGUGAAAUUAACUUUCUGAUUAUUUUUUAAAUAUAUCAAUGACAAACUUCAAAUCCGACCCCAGUGAAAACGUCGUAUGUUACUGAAGGA